Molecule: non-coding RNA, 30 nt
Filed under: Mus musculus (house mouse)
Lineage: Eukaryota; Metazoa; Chordata; Mammalia; Rodentia; Muridae
Source: RNAcentral
UGGAAUGUAAGCCUGCUUCAGUCUAUGUUG